GAGAAAACAGCCGAGCUGCAAAAUAGAUCAUUGUUUUCCGUUAGGACACCCUGACCGACAGGCCACGAUCAAGCGUAAUGGAGAGAUGCAAGCAUUGGCACCUGCCCUCUCAAGCCGGAUUUUUCAAGCCCAGCAUGGUGCACCUCUAUUGUUGGCACAUCAGUGCCAACAGUAGAGGCAUUAGGAGAUGAGGACAGGCCAGUGCUAUAAUUCUUCCCAGUCCAUUAGCUGUAAUUAGGGUUCUGCGUUCUCAGAUAAACCUGAUAAACUCCAAAAAACACUAGCCGUUAAAAUUUUGCUGAUUCAGAUUCAUUUGAAAAACUCAAUUUUUAGGUCCCCCACCAGUCUUUAUAUUUCCCGGAAUCUUCGAACAAUUUUUGCAAUUCUCCUCUUACUGCAGUGUCAACUUCCGUUGCCAUGUAGCCCCUUAUAAUAAAAAUGAGGUAGGCCCUCUACGACAGUAGAUGAAUACGGCGCUCUCAUAUGAAAAUACUGCUUUACUAAAUUCACAAAGUGCUGUUUUCUACCUUUCAUUUGCCUCAUCGAAAAUGCCGAAAGACUCCGAACUUUGCGUACAUAAAUGGAAGCUCCAAAUUGAUGGUUCAAAAAAACAAAACAAAAAAAAAACACCCUCUAAUUUUGCUAAAAAAAAAAUUAAAUUCAAGAACGCAGGAUCCUAGCUAUAAUUUGUGCAAGCUUUCAAGAUCGAGGAAAUCGGUGACCGUAUUGUCAUAUUCAUUGUGGGCACACCACAAUGAAGGCGGAUCAAGUGCUAUUUUGAAUAGCAUGUAGUUCUGCACCAGAGAUCCCAUCCCCAGUUCACAAGCUUAGCCCAUCGCAGCAGUUUUAGAAAAUUGAAGUAUUUUCGGAACCCAACCGACACUUUUCUGAAGACUGUAACACAAUGCCUUAUCCAUCUUUCUUUUCAUGUGCUGAUGAGCGGACAUGCUGUGGAGACUGCACCGAGGCGGGGCAGCCCGCCCGUGUUUCCAAUAAAUGGGGUUUUCAUCCAGGAGGUAGGCUGGUAAUGCAGCAAUAAUAUAAGUGGGGUGGUUGCAUAUAACACUGGAAAUAUUAACAGAAGUUUUUUAUGGCAAUUUAAAAACAGUGCUGCAUUUUCCAGUCUACACCACGGUUUUCCCCCCGUCUGCAA
Long non-coding RNA from Ixodes scapularis (black-legged tick), 1153 nucleotides. RefSeq lists it as uncharacterized. The transcript is spliced from 2 exons. NCBI's taxonomy places the organism in Eukaryota, Metazoa, Arthropoda, Arachnida, Ixodida, Ixodidae. The record is from RefSeq and is a predicted model, not a curated record.